This 484-nucleotide ribosomal RNA is filed under the name uncultured bacterium. RNAcentral describes it as "partial 16S ribosomal RNA". It matches the Rfam family "Bacterial small subunit ribosomal RNA", at positions 29 to 507 of the family's 1533-position model. The record is from RNAcentral.
AUUGAACGCUGGCGGCAUGCUUUACACAUGCAAGUCGAACGGCAGCGCGGGCUUCGGCCUGGCGGCGAGUGGCGAACGGGUGAGUAAUACAUCGGAACGUGCCCAGUAGUGGGGGAUAGCUCGGCGAAAGCCGGAUUAAUACCGCAUACGACCUGAGGGUGAAAGCGGGGGAUCUUCGGACCUCGCGCUAUUGGAGCGGCCGAUGGCAGAUUAGCUAGUUGGUGGGGUAAAGGCCUACCAAGGCGACGAUCUGUAGCUGGUCUGAGAGGACGACCAGCCACACUGGGACUGAGACACGGCCCAGACGCCUACGGGAGGCAGCAGUGGGGAAUUUUGGACAAUGGGCGAAAGCCUGAUCCAGCAAGGCCGCGUGUGUGAUGAAGGCCUUCGGGUUGUAAAGAACUUUUGGCGGGAACGAAAAGGACUGUGCCAAUACCACGGUUCGAUGACGGUACCCGCAGAAUAAGCACCGGCUAACUACGUG